Molecule: long non-coding RNA, 1540 nt
Filed under: Nicotiana benthamiana
Lineage: Eukaryota; Viridiplantae; Streptophyta; Magnoliopsida; Solanales; Solanaceae
Description: long non-coding RNA (NBEN_LNC006562)
Source: RNAcentral
UGCCCUUGAAUCCCCCAUUCUCUAAACUCUCUCAAUCUCUCUCAGAAACCCUAACCGCCUCUCUCCACUUCUAUCUUAAACCACCGGAAUGCAUGGCUUCCAAGGCCAUCAGAGUCCUAUACCAGCCUCAUAUGACUCUUACGCACUUUGUUACUGAAGUAUCAAGGCCUGACCACAUAGAAGCUUGGUCCAGUCUUCGUUUGACUUACGUUCUAUGGCCAUAUCCAACAUUGCUCCGGCAAGCCAUGGGUGUUUUGAGCCUGAUCUCGACCUCUUCUGCUUAGAUCAUAGACUCUUCCAGGCCUUUCUCACCAUUUGGUUUCUUCUAAAACCCUAAACUUUUGAGGUCCUUCUGAUUUCUUUAGAUCUGUUAUAGAUCUAUUUUUUCCUUAAACUUUAAAAUGGUUUCUCGAGGUUUCUUUCAAAACUAUUCUUUCGAAACCCUUCUUUUUCCAAUUUAGGGUUUCUGUUAAAGUUAUUCAGAUGCUUCUCUGAAUUUUGUUCAGUUUCUUGUGUGUUUCUUCUACUGUAUUUCUUACUAAUUUCUUCUACUAUGUUUUUCUAUGUGUUUCUUCUACCAUGUUCUUAUGAGUUUUUCUGCUGAUUUACAUGUGGUUCUUUUACUAUGUUUUUCAUGAGUCCCUUCUACUGGAAAAUGCAUGAUUAAUGGUUUCAGUUCUAUUAUGAGAUUUCUAAACUUGUUUCAUAAGUAUUGCUGCCUGAUUUACGUGUUAAUCGCUCGAUUAAUGGUGAGAACCCUAGAAUUUGGGGGUUCAUCUAAGUUUUUGAGACCGUUGGCUAUGUGAUUUGCUUGUGCUCCAUCUCUGAACUUGCUUGAUGUCAAAAGCCCUAAUGUUUGGACCUAUUUGAGUUCCUGGAGUUGUUUCAUAUACUGCUCCAUUGAGUUUCAAAAUCAUUAUUUCGACUUUGUUUCUUUAUAUGAUUCUGACUUUUGCGAAACUCUAUAAGACCUUUUUGUUUGACCUCUUUUCACAUGAUAUUUGAUACUAUCUCUUGUCCAUUGCUGGAUUACCAUGUAAUUACCAUAUUCCUAUAUUUUGUGAUUGCAUGACACUUUUUCUUUGUCGCAAAUUCAGCCUUGCAUGCCCAAUACUUGUAUACUCUUUAUGUGUGCUGAACUUCCCCUUUAAAUGACUUAAUUUUUUUGAAUAAUUUCAAACUUCCUUUGUGUAAGACUGAUUGAUUUUCUUUCCUUGUUUGCUGAUUUUCCAGUUACUUGGUUUGAUUCAAAAAAAUUCCUGAACCUUUAUUACUUGGUUUAUUCAGAAACCAGUAAUUGAGAAUAUGGGACUCCUUGAUUUACUUUGAAAUAAUUGAUUCUUACCUUAUUUUGUUUUAACCGUGUAUUUCAAAAUUCUUCCCUUAAACAAAGUCUUAUGUAUUUACCCCUAAUUGCCUACUUUGCGCAAGAUGCUUAUUUGAUUUAUUCCCUUAAAUAAUUCUCGCUCAUUACCGUUUGAUUCAAUUUCUUAAUUUAAGGAAGUCUUAUACUGAUUCAGUUUCUCCCGUUUGAUUCCAU